Paramuricea clavata is the source of this 742-nucleotide non-coding RNA. The record is from the annotation of a GenBank genome assembly. NCBI's taxonomy places the organism in Eukaryota, Metazoa, Cnidaria, Anthozoa, Malacalcyonacea, Plexauridae.
AAAGGCCGAUUCACACAACAAAACUUUUGCCUAAUGCUGCAUGUUGUAUGCAACGUACUUAUAUAUACCCUACUUUAUACAACUUGAGUUUGUACUGUUUAGAUCAAGCACACAACUCAUCUAUGACAACGUAGGUGAGAUUGUGUGCUUGAUUUAGGCAGUGCAAAUCAAGUAGUAAGCAGGUUGCAUGCGACAGUUUUGGGCAAAAGUUGUGAAGUGUCAAUUGGCCUUAACAAAGCCGAAUACCUUGAAAUAUCGAAGUAUCUUUGAAUCAAUCCCGACAUAAACCUCGGUAAACAAAGGUCUUCAUUCCGUUAAGCAUACAAAAUCCUCGAUGUGUACAUAGUUACCCUGCAUACAGGCACUAUAAAUCCCUGUCUGUCUCGGGUAAAACCUGAACUAAGUCUGACAUUUAUCUGUUGUUGAAUACGCGCUACCUUAAGCGAGAUUCUAAAUGAGAAUUUUAUAGGCACACAGUAAAGUGAUUUAUAUUCAAAAUUAUGCUAGUUUGUGGACUUAGGAAAGGUGAUUUAGUCCGGCUUUAAGAACAGACCAUAUGUCAUUGUCAAUUAAUCGCUUGUGCUCAUGCAUUCAUAUACAAGAAUGCUUGUAACUUUAGUGACUGAAUGAACCGGUAAUUUUUUCAAUGGCAUUUGGAAUUUUGAUGUUUGGCUGGUUACAUACAACCAAUUUUAACUUCGAUGGACAUAAUAUCUGUUCAUAUUAAAAAACAGAAAAAGUU